AGGACUAACGCUGGCGGCGUGCCUAACACAUGCAAGUCGAACGGGGGUAGCAAUACCCCAGUGGCAGACGGGUGAGUAACACGUGGUCAACCUACCUCUGUGUGGGGGAUAACUAGCCGAAAGGUUAGCUAAUACCGCAUACGAUCGUUUUGAGGCAUCUCGAGACGAUGAAAGGAGCAAUCCGCACGGAGAGGGGACUGCGUCCCAUUAGUUAGUUGGUGGGGUAACGGCCUACCAAGACUCCGAUGGGUAGCUGGCUUGAGAGAGCGACCAGCCACACUGGAACUGAGACACGGUCCAGACUCCUACGGGAGGCAGCAAGUGAGGAAUUUUCCGCAAAUGGGCGAAAGCCUGACGGAGCGACGCCGCGUGUGGGAUGAAGGCCUUCGGGUCGUAAACCACUGUCGAAGGGACGAUAUUGACGGUACCCUUGGAGGAAGCCCCGGGCUAACUACGUGCCAGCAGCCGC
Molecule: ribosomal RNA, 469 nt
Filed under: uncultured bacterium
Lineage: Bacteria
Description: SSU rRNA
Rfam family: Bacterial small subunit ribosomal RNA
Source: RNAcentral